This 306-nucleotide long non-coding RNA is filed under the name Androctonus crassicauda. The record is from RNAcentral. Lineage: Eukaryota; Metazoa; Arthropoda; Arachnida; Scorpiones; Buthidae.
UUUGCACGGAAUGAGUGCUCCAAGCAGGAGGGGGUGUAGAAAGUUGAAAAGUAGAAGGAAAAGUUAAAAACCGUAUAUGCACCAAUGGUGGCAAAUACUGGAGUGGGAUGCAUCGACAGCCGCCGCCGUAUUGUUUCGGUCGCGCGACGCGUUUCGUGUCAUCGCGUGAUCGGCGCGAUGACUCAUCGUUCCCCAGGCUUAUUCAGGUUGGACGAAGUCGACAGGCGCUGCUUCGAGCGUUGUCGGGUGGCGAGCGCGUUUUUACUUAUUUCGUUUUCCAAUAUUGACUUGUUUUAAUGGUUUGUC